RNAcentral lists this ribosomal RNA (383 nucleotides) under marine copepod environmental sample. RNAcentral describes it as "SSU rRNA". It matches the Rfam family "Eukaryotic small subunit ribosomal RNA", at positions 587 to 972 of the family's 1831-position model. Lineage: Eukaryota; Metazoa; Arthropoda; Copepoda. The record is from RNAcentral.
AGCUCCAAUAGCGUAUAUUAAAGUUGUUGCGGUUAAAAAGCUCGUAGUUGGAUCUCGGCAGGUAGGGGGCGGUUCGUUUCUGACGGCACUGCCCCAUUUACCUGUGUUUUUGACGGAGGUCUCAAGGUGGCUUUAACCAGCUGUCUUGGAACGCCGUCAGGUUUACUUUGAAAAAAUUAGAGUGCUCAAAGCAGGCUACAAAGCUUGAAUAUUUGUGCAUGGAAUAAUGGAAUAGGUCGUAGAUUCUAUUUUGUUGGUUUUCGGAAUUUUACGAAAUGAUUAACAGGAACAGCCGGGGACAUUAGUACUCAGACGACAGAGGUGAAAUUCUUGGACCGUUUGAGGACUAACUACUGCGAAAGCAUUUGUCAAGAGUGUUUUCA